This 429-nucleotide ribosomal RNA is filed under the name Chloroflexota bacterium. RNAcentral describes it as "Chloroflexi bacterium partial 16S ribosomal RNA". It matches the Rfam family "Bacterial small subunit ribosomal RNA", at positions 355 to 776 of the family's 1533-position model. Lineage: Bacteria; Bacillati; Chloroflexota. The record is from RNAcentral.
UGGGUAAUAUUGCACAAUGGGCGCAAGCCUGAUGCAGCCAUGCCGCGUGUGUGAAGAAGGCCUUCGGGUUGUAAAGCACUUUCAGCGGGGAGGAAGGCGUUAAGGUUAAUAACCUUGGCGAUUGACGUUACCCGCAGAAGAAGCACCGGCUAACUCCGUGCCAGCAGCCGCGGUAAUACGGAGGGUGCAAGCGUUAAUCGGAAUUACUGGGCGUAAAGCGCACGCAGGCGGUCUGUCAAGUCGGAUGUGAAAUCCCCGGGCUCAACCUGGGAACUGCAUUCGAAACUGGCAGGCUAGAGUCUUGUAGAGGGGGGUAGAAUUCCAGGUGUAGCGGUGAAAUGCGUAGAGAUCUGGAGGAAUACCGGUGGCGAAGGCGGCCCCCUGGACAAAGACUGACGCUCAGGUGCGAAAGCGUGGGGAGCAAACAGG